AAUUUUUUUUUAGAGUUCUAAUCGAAAAAAAAGGUUGCGACCUCGAUGUUGGAUUAAAAUUUAAUUUUGGUGUAGAAGCUAAAUUUUUGGGUCUGUUCGACCUUUAAAAUUUUACAUGAUCUGAGUUUAAACCGGCGUAAGCCAGGUUGGUUUCUAUCUUUAUAGAAUUUUAAUAUUUUAGUACGAAAGGACCAAGUAUUAGUUUAAUAAAUU
Molecule: ribosomal RNA, 213 nt
Filed under: Melanobaris laticollis
Lineage: Eukaryota; Metazoa; Arthropoda; Insecta; Coleoptera; Curculionidae
Description: partial large subunit ribosomal RNA
Rfam family: Bacterial large subunit ribosomal RNA (bases 1-158)
Source: RNAcentral